This 19167-nucleotide long non-coding RNA is filed under the name Arabidopsis lyrata. RNAcentral describes it as "long non-coding RNA (ALYR_LNC001615)". The record is from RNAcentral. Lineage: Eukaryota; Viridiplantae; Streptophyta; Magnoliopsida; Brassicales; Brassicaceae.
UUUUUUUUUUUUUAUAAUCAAGUCAAAACUCAAAAGUGAAAUUAUUUUGGAAGUAUAUUAAUUAUCAUAUUACCAAAAACGUGAACACAAUAUGUUCCGAACUGUUAAUGGCUUGAUGCAGCAUUUCCACAAAAAGAUGGCUUAGCUACAUAGAAAUAUCUUGUCGAAAAUUCAAUAUUAUGCUAAUUGAACCAAAACUUUCUUGUUAAAGACCCUAAUAAAUAUUUUUACCUUCAUAAAUAUUUUUCUAAAAGAUCUUAUUUUUAAUCAUAAAUCUUAAAAAAUAUUUUUAAUCAUAUAUUCUUAAACUAUUAUAGUUUAAAAAAGAUAUAUGAUUAAAAAUAUUUUUUAAGAUUUAUGAUUAAAAAUAAGAUCUUUUAGAAAAAUAUUUAUGAAGGUAAAAAUAUUUAUUAGGGUCUUUAACAAGAAAGUUUUGGUUCAAUUAGCAUAAUAUUGAAUUUUCAAAGAUAUAAUCUUAUUUUUAAUAAUCUUAAACUAAAAUAUUUUUAAUAAUCUUAAAUUUUAACAAGAAAGUUUUGGUUCAAUUAGCAUAAUAUCUUAUUUUUAAUCAUAUAUCUUUUUUAAACUAUAAAAGUUUUUCACAAUCUUUGAAAAAUAUUUACGAUUUAACGUAAAAAAAUUAGUAGAGUUUAUGUAAUAUUUGAAAUGUUUGAAUUUAUUAUCACAAAAAUUUACAAUUUAAAAAGAGAUAACCCCGGUUGGCUUCUUGUUUGGGUCUACUUGUUUGGGUCGAUAUGGAAGGCCAUAUAUAAUUCCAUGGAUUUGAUAUACAUGAAUCGUUUUAAAAUUGGCGAUGAAUGCGAGAUCGAUGGUGGGAGGUAAAACAAGAAAAACUUGGUAUUUUCAUUAUGUUUAUGUAUAUGCCGACCAAUUUGAUCAAGAAAAAAGUACACCAAUGGAACCGACUAUAAGUGGGUCAACAUAUUUUAUAAUACAACUAUGGAUUGACCUGCGGUACACCGCGGAACAAUAUUUUCGUUUUAAAAAAUAAAAUAUUUUUGUUUGAGAAAGUUCUAUAAUUUUUUAAAAUAUAAUAAAUAUUUAUAUAACCUAUUUACAUGUGUGAUUAGAAUGUAUAUAUAGAAAUCUAUAUAGUUAAUUUCGGAUGAUAAAAAAAAAUAGAAAUCUAUAUAGUGUUCAUUGUACAAUUAGUAUGUUGUAUGUUUGAAUAUUUCUAAUAAUACAGAAAAAUGAUUACAAUUUAGUAAGUAACAAUGUACCGUGUGUGUAAAUUACGUAUCAUCUUAUGGUCUUUGUUGUAUAUUUAAAUAGUUUUGAAAGUGUGUAAGUACUUUAUAUAUAUGUGCAAAUACUUGUGUUGGGUUGUAAAUUUUGUUUAUGGUUAUAAAUAUUGAAAUAUGAUAUCUCUUAUAUUUUUUUUUGUACAAAGAAAAAAAAAAAGUGGUGUAAGUGCAAAAUUUUGUAUGCAUUAUAUCUCAAAAGAUUUAUUGUAUUUAUUUGUUAUUUAAUAUUUCAGACAAAUAAGUCUGCUUAUAUUGCUGUAGAAAUGAAAACGACAAUUUUAUAAUAUGAGACUUUGUUGAGUAGCAAAAUUAAAAUUAACAUACAAAUUUUUAAUAAUUAGAUUCAUAGAUUAAUUUUGUUUGUAAUAACUUGUAAAGGUAAGAAUGGUCUCAUGGUUGAAACCUGUUGAGCUGAUUCGACAAUGCAAUUGAGCCAUGGAGUGCCAAACCUACCAAAUCGAGAUCAGAAAUCGAUUAACCCGAGAAUUUGAGGUAAUACAUAUAGAUUUGGUUCUUCAUUCAUUUUUCUAUGAAUUGGUAACAUCAUUUUCCAGUAAUUGAUCGAUCUAAACAGAUACCAUUGUUGCUUAAUGUGAUUAUUGAAUAAGGUUUUAGUAAAUUUAUGAAGAAAGUGAUUCUGAUUUCCAUACUUGUAUAUUACUUAUGUAAUUAUAGUUCAAUCAGCUACUGUAAAUGUAUAUGUUGAUUUGUAGAUAUGUAGUUAUACAUUCGUUUUUUCUGUAAAUUGUGUAUGCAAUCGUUUUUUACAGUUAGAAAUAUUACUAUCAUAUAAUCUGCUAUGUCUACUAUCUGAAAUAUGAAACUAAACUUUUGUUUAUAAUCGCAGGUUAUAGUAUUGUCUAUGCAACGAUUGAUCAAAGUAGCUGUAAGACUUCAUCAAUUUUGGAUAAAACAAAGGUUAGUAGGCAAACUUAAAUCUUAGUAUAUGCAAACACUAAAAAAUAGCAUAUUGUGAAAUGUAAAUAUAAUGUUAAACUGAAAUAGAAGAAAAAAAAUGAAAUGCAAGAAAACUGCUAUUGCAUUCACGCAUAACAGGCCACAUAGCUGUUUCGCAGAUGCACUUGAUUUCAAAUGGGAAGCAAGAAUAUCUGGAAAUCAGACAUGUGAUACCAGAAGCCUGGUUUUAAUACACCCUGAAAAGGGUAUUUGUAUACCCCAUAUGGAAUCGUUGCAUCGAUUUUGUUUGCCUAAACAAACAAUAUGUUUGGUAGAUCAGUUUUUGAAACACAAAAAAAAUCAAUAUGUAGUUUCCAUUGGCUUUUGAUACCUUUUCGUCAACCAAUAUCAUUUUUGUAACAUCCCUACCAGAAACCAUUGGCUUUUUCCAUAUACUUAAUGAUUUAGAUGCGAAAACGAUUUUAUUGUUUUAGUAGUUUCCAUUUGGUUGAUAUGCUUAAGAUUAUGUUUAAUACAAUAUUAGAUUGAAUAUAUGAUUUCCAAAACUCAAAUCUCGUUAUGGCAAAAUAAGGAAUUUUGUUUGAGUUACUUUAUUGUUUUGUUAAAUUUGCUUAAGACAAUAUUUUUGUUAGAUUGUUUUUGUAGGGACUAAAUGUACAAUUACAAAAUUAUAAAAGGAUUUUUUUGGCUAAAAUCCCUACAAAAAUGUAUAUAUAGAUAUCAGCAAAUCGGUUUUCAUCGAAUAGAUGAUACAACUUAAUUUCUUUCACAAUUAUUUUUGCUUAUGUUUUGCUUAUUGCAUGCUUAUAUUUUUGUCAUUUUAUGUUUUUUUUCUCUUCAAAUCUUUAAUAUUCCUAUAUACAGCUAUGUCAUUAUAGAAAGUAUUCUUUAUUUCAUUAAAAUAAUAACUGACAAUCAAAAUAAAACUUUCUUUAUGUUUAUUCAAUUUAAAUUUAUUAUUUUAAUUUUAAAAGAUAUGAAUUUCUAAACUAGAAGAUAUUAUUUUCUAAUCCCAAUAUAUAUGACCAUACGAAACCACCCAUAUUAAAUUAUGUUUUUCUAAUCCUCACCAGUAUUUUCUCUUGGCUAAACAUGUGUGUUCGUAGCUUAUUGUAACUAGAUCAGUUUGACAAGUAUAGAGGUAAUGAUAAUAAUAUUCCUCACUUAAAGUUCAACAUAGUUAAUUUUCAUUUUUCAUAGCAUUUAGACAACAGGCGUUAAUCAUAAACACAUACUAGAUUUUAACCCGCGGUACACCGAAGGACGAUUUAUUUACGAAAAGUAGUAAUUUUUAAAUUUAAUGAUUCUGUAUUAUAUAUAAAAAUUUGCAAAUACUAUUAUUUUAUAAGAACUUUAUAUAUUUAUAAUUUACAAUUAUUAUUAAGUAGCGGUAUACCAUGAAAUAAUUUUUGUUUUAUACAUUCUAUUUAAACCAAGCUGAUUCGAUAUAUCUAAUAAUCAUGGUGUUAAAAUAAUAAAAAAGUUAACCCGUAUUGAAGCGGCGAGUUAAUGAUAUUUUAAAUUUUUAUUAAUGUUAAUUCGUACCCAUCUCACCAUAUAACCCAUCUCGCAAUAUAAUCCGUCACGUGCUAUUUUUUUCUAAUAUGUUCAAAUGUUCAUAAUAUUAUAAACUCUUUUUGAUUUUAAUUCGUCCCGUAUUGAAGCGGCGAAUUAAUGAUAUUUUAAAUUUUUAUUAAUGUUGAUUCAAAACCCGUCCCGCCAGGCCACCAUAAAACUUUGUCCCAUAAUAUAAUCCGUCUCGUGUUACAUUUUAUUUUUAUAUGUUCAAAUGUUCAUAAUAUUAUAAACUUUCUAUUGCUUUCAAAUAUAUCAAUUCUAAUAUUUCCGGUAAAAUGAAACAGUUUAACUAAAAACCGAAUUAACCCGUAUACAACUUUUAAAUUUUGAUGCUUGUUAAGUUAAGGUUUCUGCUCAUUCGGAUUUGGAUUCAUUUUGAUCUUAUUUAUAACAUGACUCUGAAUUUUUGGUCAAAUAUUUUAGCCGAUGUGUGACGUUGAACACACACUUUUUCAUUAGUUGGGUAAUAUAUGUCUAUUUUUGAAAUUUUGAAUCACAAUAUAUGCAGAAACUUUAUGUAUUAUAUGAUAAUUCAAAACAAUUAAAAAAUAAUUAAACAAAGAUAAAAGGAGAAUCAUAAAUUUAAAUUAGAAGCAAAUCUUCUAAAUAUUUUUAUUAUUAAAUAUAACGUAAUUAGUGGAUAAGAUCCAAUUUUGGUAAUAUUUGUAUCCGAUUUUUAGGCAAAUAUCCGGUGGAAGAGUUGGGUUACAUAUAAUCCGAUCCAAACAAAUGUUUAUGAACUAAAUUUUGUAUCGGAUCCGGUACCAAAAAUCUCGGAUAAAUUUUUAAUUCACCCGAUAUAAAAUGUAUUUUAAAAAUACUAUUAUAGAUAAAAAUAAAGAAAGAAAGUUGGAUAGAGCCCAAAACUUUUUAAAAAAUCUAGUUAAAAACCUCUUGUACGUCUAUUUAUUAUUAGUUGUUAUCUUGAGAGUAAUUAUUUGUCUCACUUGGAGUUGGAGGCCAACGUGAUGGGAUAAUUCUCCAAAUCCGACGCAGUGGACGUAAUAUUCUCCUAUAUCUUGUUCUUGAAUUUUUUUGAAAGUUUUGGGCUCUAUCCAACUUUCUUUAACCGAAAAGAGUUCCGCCCUUCACAUAUCCAAUUCUUCCAGCUGAUUGUCAUCGCUACUGGUGAAACAACAAGAUCGCUCGGCACUACCUGAUCGUCAUCAGGUAUUUGAAUCCGAGAGUACAUGGAACCAAAUCCAGUGAGGGUCGAAACAGGGCUAUUAGGUAUAGUAAUGUAAUCUCCACCAUCACCGUCUCCGUCUCAAUCGAUGAUCGGAACAGGGGUCUCAAAAUGUAGAGCUAUCAAGCGGGUCAAACCCGCCCGCCAGAUCCGCCCCGCAAAGGAUUUCAAAAUUUUUGACCUUCAAAAAACCUGUCCCGCAAAACCCACGGGAGAAAAUAGUAGACCCACAUUCGCUCUGCUAAAUUUUGCGAGACCCGCGGGUUACCUGCGGACUUUCAAAACUUACUUUUAAAAUAUUUUUAAAGCAAAAUUAUAAUUAAUAAUAAUUUUAAAGAUAAAUACACAUAUUUUUUAAGAAAAGCCUAAAAUUUAUAAUUAUUUCAUAUAUAUAUUACAAAUUAUUUUAAUAUUUUACAACUAUAUAUUAUAUAAAUUUAUAUUUAAUUAUAUAUUUUGUUUUUUUUUUAAAGCCGCGGGACCCAUGGAUUUACCCGAAAAACUCGCAAUUUAUGAAACCCAACCCACACCCGCCCCACUUUUUUGCUUUUUGAAAUUUUUAGGCCCACAUGCUUUGCUUCAAAUUGACAGGCCUAUCUAAAUCCUCUCCCUCAUCCUGGAAUAAUCCGUAAAAGACCCGAUCACAUCAUCCUACUCACGCGGAUCCGUUAUAAUCUAUGGUAUACUGGGAUAUGUGACCCUCUCCGGUACAGUUGGAGAUACCUCGACAGCAGGGGCUGGAACACUCGAUCCCGGCUCAGCAUCAUAACUAGUCAUCUCGGGAGUACUCGGCUCACCAACUCGACGAUACUAAAACUUGUAACGUCUCGAUGACGGACUCAAAAUCCACCCACCCUCAACAAACGACCAAGCCCUCGUCUCGGCAUCUACAUCAAAGAAAAAUGGUAAGUCUUAAUUUUCCAACUACUUAAUAUUUUGCAAAUGAUCAUAUACUAGUUUCCUAACAGGUUUUGUGACACAUUUACUCGAUAAAACGAUAAAAAUAUGAUUUUUCCAUGAGAAUAAAUAAACCAUGGGCUGAUACCACAUAAUCGCUUGAUAUGGAAGGUAUUUCUCAGUAACACCACGAACUUAAUUGUAACCCGAGUUUUUGGUAAGUUGAAUUGUGUAGAGUUUGAUGAUUUUAAAAGUUGAGAGAGAAUUUAAAAGUUUCAAAGAUUACUAUGGAAUAUGGAUUGUCUAUCAAUGAUUUUUAUGAAUUCUAGUAAAAUUUUUGGGAACUCUUAUCAACAUUUUCCUUCAAUUUUAUUUUAUGCUCUUAUGGACAUUUCUUUAAGUAAUGUCUUUUCCAAAGAAAGUUUGUAAGAACAUCGCAACUUUCUUAGUUCGUCCGUUCUCUAUCAUCUACCAAUAGCUCCCUUCAUAUUAUUAGAGCUUGGGGAUUCAUUUACUUGAUCUGUAUCCUUGCAAACAGCAACUGAAGAAAAAAAAAUCAAUUGGAACGAAACAAAAAUUAUAGAAAACAAUAGCUCUAUCUAUGUAAUUGGGAGGGAAAACGGUCUAUUUCCCCACGAGAACUAUGACAUCAUAACAGAUAGAGCCCAAUCUAUGACUACGAUCUAAAUAUCCCCGAGAAAAUACUUCUCAACCUAUAUCUCCUCGAAUCGAUAGUUCUCAUCUAUUUCUCCAUAAUUUUGGAUUUACUCGGUUUACGACCUAAACCGACAUCAAACCACCCCAAAACCAACAUUAAACCGAAUUAAUGAAAUCAAUCAACCAUGUUGCUGGAAUUGACAAUCGAGAGCUUACAGAUGUAGCUGAGUAAUUUUGAAAGCUAAUGGCAAAGGAGGAAACCACCGGAAAUUACAUCUGACAUUUCGUCGAGAAAUAGACACGACUCAUGUUUUGGGCGUAGGAAUUGAAAGCGUCUGGUCGAGAGGACGUUUUUGCUCUUGGACGAAUGGGGAUCUCGCAAAGGCAGAGGAUUCCUCAGACUCGUCGGAAGAAAUCUCCGGAAAUUGAAGAGAUUCUGGUCGGAUUCACAUCGGAGUUCACGGUUCACCAUCGAAGUAGAGAGGAAGGUUUCGGCUUUUAGGUGGAGAAAUUGAGAGAAUAAUUGAGAGAAGCUAUGACUACCAAAGAGGGUCAGUGGGGAAGCCAUCGCUGGAGAAUGCCAGCUGAGAUAAAAAAAAUUUGCAUCUCUUGAAAUCGCGAUCGAGAGAGGCAGAGAGGAUUACAAGGUUCGAUAGCUUUCGGUUCGCCUGUGGAGGUUGCGGCUCGGUUUCGCCGGAGUUUCAGAGGGGUCGCCGGAAUUUGACUCUGUCUCCAUUGGUGUUAUAAGAGUUGUCAUCGAUAAACCCUAGUAGAAAAAAUAAGAGAUGUCUUCUUCUCCUCUAUUCGAGAGCAGCAAAAUCAACUUUUUUAUUCAACUCUUUCACCACGAACCACAAUUGCAUUGAGAAUUUCUCUUUGGGAGAUCAUUAGUAAUCUUAGAACUUUUGACAUCCAAAUUUUUUCAAAACUUUGCUAGUUUCCUCUCACUUUUAUGUUCAUUUUCAAGGAAUUAGAGACCUUUCUCUAAUUAAUGAUUUCUAAUAGUUUAGGGUAGACCUUUCUCUAAAUCGCAAAAGAAAAUGUUGUGACCGCGAAAGUAAUUCGUAUGCCUCAUAAAUAGUUUGAUAUUACAAGAGAGUAUUGGCAUACAAAAGAGUACCAAGCAAGAAUAUGGCCAACAACAAACAAACAAAUGGAGAGAUUCUUAUUGGGGAAUACUCAAUACACGCACUGGUAAAAUGCAGAGCGACAGAAACAGGGAAUGUAAAACCAACGAUUGUACAUGAGUGAUUAAGAAACCAAACAACCAGACUCAGAUUUCACAUUUGUUUAUGUGUUUUUGACUUCUUACCAGACUCAGAACAUGUAGACGACACUGUCGUGGAUCCUGGACUUCUGGUUCUGUGCAACACAUUCAGAUAUCCACAUCAGGUUCCUGAUUUCCUGCUCUCUCAACCUCAUAUACGCAAAGAAUACAGCGUAAUGGAACUGCAAAACUCAGGUUUUAAACAACCAUUGUUAGUAUUAUACAUGAAUUGCGAGAUGCAUAACACAAUCAGACUCUCUAAUGUAUUAGACCAGAGGUUUUGGGAUAUAAACAGAAAACAACUAAAACUAAAGGUUAUCAUUGAAGCCUAGAUUUUAUGACCUUUGGAAAGUUCAUUACGGUUCAUUUGGGGAGAGGGAAACAAACCUGCUGCUCAAAGGCUAAACAAAGCCUUCGGACUUCUUCUUCAUAAAAUGCCUUGUCAAGCAUCUGGCUCUCUCCAUAAGACAUCUUGGAGAAUAUAGCUUGAUACGGAGGGUAUUUCUCCAUAACACCACGAACCUACCAGUGAAUGAUAACGGAAUUAAAUGAGCCAAAUUCGUAAACUCACUAUAUUUAAUAUGUUAGCUUGAGAUUUACCUGAUCUAUAUCCUCGCAGAUAGCAAGCUCUUCGUGACCAUAUGGAUAGCUGCAAAAGAAAAAAUACAAACCAUGGUGAGAACUAAAAUAUAUAAACAUCGAGUGGAAAAUAUCAUUUGACUGUAGAAUGCUUCUUACAGCAGACCAAAGUUAGAGUACAAUUUCUUCCUGUCUUCUCUUGUGAGCUCAGUGCCAAUGCUGCAUAGCAAAGAAAACCAGUUUCAGAAACAAAGCUAAACAGAAAGCUUAUGAAUGUAACAUCAGCUUGUUGAUAUUGAUAUUCACUACUCUUAUUGUUUCAUGGACAAAGCAGUAAGUAAUUACCUGUUGAUAGUGAUAUUCACUGCUCUUCUAUCGGCCUCAAAGGCUAAAAGGUCAGACAUAAUCUCUGCUGUUGCGCCACCAAGUUUCUAUUUCGGAUACACAGCAAAACAAAAAUUGGGGUUAGCUAGUAUAGGUAGAUUCUAAAAUUCCUAGAAAAUAGAUUGAGAAGUCGACUAAGCACCUGACAGAACUUGUAAAAAUCCUCAAGGUAUGCUUUGUAGAGGGUGUUCCUCAUAAUCUCUAUGUUCAUGUCAUCGAGAUCCUACACAUAAUAUGAUAUGCAUGUGAUACUACAAUCAUAACAGAAACUAGCAAACAAACUGCACAAGAUUGAUUACAAGCAAAAACUAGAAUAAUAAAUACUUGAGCUUUGUACCUCUGAUGUUAAGCAUUCAGAAAAGUAUGGAGCCAGAGGAGUGUCCACAAGCACCAACCUAUAGAGUUCCCGCAUGUUCUGCGCAACUGCUAGUGUAGCAAUACUGGCAAAAAUGAGAGAGAGCAUGAGACAAACAUAAAAGUAAGAAAAGAAAUGAGGUUUAGAAGAUGCCAAAAGGUCGAUCCGGGCUACCUGUCAAACAUGCCUAAAGGGUGACAUUUCUCGAUCAACUCUUGAACAUCUCUCUCGUGCAGGGUUCCAGUAACAAUGAGCACGACAUUGUCGAUCAUAUGGCCAUAUCUGCAUACAAACCAAUUACCUCAAACGCCAGCGUCUUCAAUUUGAUAGAUCAUAUACUAAACUAAAUCCAGGGGUAAAACAAGACAACAAUCUAAGCUAUCAUUUCAGAAUGAUCAUAAUCUUUCCCUUCAACAUAGUGAAACAUAUACUUGCUCUGCGAUCUCGGUAAUUAAAGCUAAAACUUAAGGAAAGUAACAAAUCUUAUACUAUGAGAACAAUUUUGGCAGAACUAAAUAAGCAUUUCACAUUACCUGAUGUACUCUAAAAAGGUAGACAUUGGCUCAGUAGCUUGGCAAAGCAUAUGCUUGUAGUCAUCAACAAGCUUGAGAGUACACUUCUCCACAAUGGUGGUGGUAUGCAGAGGUGACGGUUCUGCGUUAGAAAACAUCAGAUUCAGAUACAAUAACUAACCAAUUGUGCAGAUUUCAAGCACAAGAACAGUAGUAUUUAUACAGAGACUAAACAUCAAAUUUCAACUCCACUUAAUAAGAUGAACAAGACUACAAUUUGACAUCAAAAUUUCUUCAAUUCGCAGAUCAAUAUGGGGAUUUGGGAGAGUUUCAAGUGCCUAAAACCCAGAAACCCAAACGCAAUGAAGCAAAAUUCAAAUUCAGAUCAUCAAAAUUCGUAUUACAACAACAACUGAGUCAAAAUUGUGAGAGACAAUCAGGGAUUAUCACGACGCACCGUUUUGGAGGUAAGAGCCGUAUUUGGUGGCAGAGAGAUGCAUCUUGAUAUCGUCUAGGUUCUCACACUGACAUAGAUUAUUGUAAUCGGCGGUGGUGAGAAGACCAGCACGGUGACCUCUGACGAUCGCCUCCAAGUAUCCGCCAUGGAUGUUGAAGGUAAGCGCCUCGAAUCCGUACAUAUUUUCCUCCUGAUCGUAGGAUAAUUCAGAUCUCAAAGAUUGUCGUGAGAGAUCUGAAGAAGAAGAAGAAGAAGAAAUCGAUACAGAGAUCGACGCGAGGAAGAAGAUAGCUUCGAAUUGAUUGGAUUUGUUUUCUCUUUGCAAACUCGUGUUGGCACGUUUAAUUACGAUUGUAUCCUUUAAAUCGGAUUGCUAAACCGAAGAAUGUGCACUGAAAAGUUAUUUUUGUGUCUCAAUUUUGUCUUGUUUUGGUUUGGUUUGGUUUAACCUCUUUUUUUUUUAAAUACUUUUCUGGGGAUGAAUGAAUUAGUAGAAAUUAAGAAAUCAAGUACAAACCGGAUCACCUGAAUUUUGAUAAAUUUGAAUCCAGAUGGAACAAAUACAAUCUUGAUAUCCACAUGGUAUCUUAAAAGGAAAAAAAAAAACUAAUUAUUAGUGUAUACAAUUGUUUGUAAACCGGAAUAAACCGGAACACCUCUACUAUAAAUAGAGGCUCUCUCUCUGUAACAAACUUUAACGGGAAUAACAGAGUUUUUCGUCAUCUUCUUCGUUUCUAUCAUGGUAUCAGAGCAUGAGACUAAAAUCUCACUCGAUUCGACCUAAAUUUCAUGGAUUCUCGAGCUUUUUCUCUAUAGAAAUCGUUCGUUCUUCUUCAUUUUCUCUUUCUUUCGAUCGGUUUUUUCACAAAUCAAGCUAUCUUUCGUCAAGAUCUUGCGAUGGUUUCCGUACAGAAAUUACGGCGUCGUACAAGAAGAUCGACGAAGGAUUCGCCUGAGAAGACUCCAGAUCGUGUUCAGAGUUCACCGAUUCCGCCAAUUCCACCGAUUUCUUCUCCGAUUCAACAUUCAUUCGUUACAAGACCUCCGAUUCAUCGUUUGCCACAAUUUGAUUUUACAGAUUCGCAUUAUUCACCUUAUGCUCUCUCUAAUGGUGAUAAUCCUGGAAAUUCUUUAGUGACAGAGAUACUUGAUGGAUCUAAUUUCUCUUCUUGGAAAAUAGCGAUGUUCGUUGCUUUGGAUGCUAAGAAUAAGUUUGCUUUUGUUGAUGGAACUUUACCAAGACCUCCUGAAUAUGAUCUGAGUUUUCGUGUAUGGUCAAGAUGCAAUAGUAUGGUUAAAUCUUGGAUAUUGAAUUCGGUUUCUAAACAAAUAUACAAGAGUAUACUUCGUUUUGAGGAUGCUUCAGAGAUAUGGAAGGAUUUGAUUGCAAGGUUUCAUAUCACAAAUUUGCCGAGAUCAUAUCAUUUAACUCAACAAAUAUGGGGAUUGCAACAAGGUUCUAUGAGUCUCUCUGACUAUUACACUACUUUGAAGACUUUAUGGGAUGAUUUGGAUGGGGCAAGUUGUGUUGGUACUUGUCAGAAAUGUAAAUGUUGUGAUGCUACUGCUUCAAAAGCUGAACAUGCCAAGAUUGUUAAGUUUCUUGCAGGAUUGAAUGAAUCGUAUGCAACAAUUCGAAGUCAGAUCAUAAUGAAAAAGAACAUACCAGAUCUUGCAGAAAUCUACAAUCUCUUGGAUCAAGAUCACAGUCAACGCAACAUUAUCACAGUUCCAAACACUGCUGCAACAUUUCAGGUUAAUGUCUCUCAGAAUGAGCAAUUUGCAGUGAAUGCUACUCGGUCUUAUGGUGCUCCUAGUGCUCCAAAACCAAAAAUACAGUGUGCUCACUGUGGUUAUACUGGUCACAGUGUUGAUACUUGUUACAAAAUUCAUGGAUAUCCUAUGGGGUUCAAACAUAAACAUAAAACUGUGACACCACAAGAUAAGGUAAAGCCUGUUGUUGCUAACCUUGCCUUAACUGAUGGAAAAACGUCUACAGCAAAAGGAAUUGGCCCUGAUGGGAUAGCAGAGUUAGUGGGAAAUCUCUCAAAGAAUCAGAUACAGGAUGUGAUAGCUUAUUUCAGUUCUCAGCUUCACAAUUCAGCACAACCAAUCACUAUUGCCUCUGUUGCAAGCUCUAGCUCAAGUGUUCCAAGCACUAGUGAUACAAGUGGUUCUGCUUUCAAUGGUAUCUCUUUCUCUCCCUCUACUUUAUGGUUACUUUGUGUUUUGACAACUACUAAGAAGAUGUUAACUAUUAACACAUGGAUCAUAGAUAGUGGUGCUACUCAUCAUGUUUCUUUUGAUAAGAACUUGUUUGAAAGCCUAUCUGAUGCUCUAAGUAGUGAGGUUACACUUCCUACUGGUUCAAAUGUCAAAAUUGCAGGGAUUGGAGUUAUUAAGUUGAAUGAAUAUAUCACAUUACAAAAUGUGUUGUAUAUUCCCGAGUUUCGACUAAACCUGCUCAGUGUCAGUCAAUUAACCAGAGACAUGAAGUCUAGAGUGUUUUUUGAUGAGGGUUGCUGUGUGAUUCAGGAUCCUACCAAGGCGCUGAAGAUUGGUGAAGGUCAACAGAUUGGAGGCUUAUAUGUCUUAGAUGCUAGUCCUGUUGAAUGUUCUAGUAAUGACAAUUUGUCAUCUGUUUCUUUGAAUGCGCAUUGUAAUGCGGUAGUUGAUAAUGCCCUGUGGCAUAGUAGAUUAGGACAUCCUUCUUAUGAGAAAAUCGAUGUUCUACAUGAUGUACUUGGUUUGAGAAAAAGGAAUAAAGCAGAGUCAGUUCAUUGUUCUAUUUGUCAAAAGGCUAAACAGAAACGACUCUCUUUUCCUUCAAAGAACAAUAAGUCUGAACAUGCUUUUGAGCUAUUACACAUUGAUACUUGGAGACCAUUUGCUACUCCUACUGUGGAAGGUUUCAGAUACUUCCUAACAAUUGUGGAUGAUUUUAGUCGAGCAACUUGGGUUUAUUUGAUAAAAACAAAGAAUGCGGUUUUACAUAUAUUCCCUGGGUUCAUUACAAUGGUGGAGAAACAAUAUCAGACACAUGUAAAAGGAGUAAGAUCAGAUAAUGCUCCGGAGUUGAGAUUUGAAUCAUUAUACAGAGAUAAAGGUAUUAUCUCCUAUCACUCAUGUCCUGAAACACCUCAGCAGAACUCAGUUGUGGAAAGGAAGCAUCAGCAUAUCCUCAAUGUUGCCAGAGCUUUAAUGUUUAAGUCAUGUGUUCCUUUGGAUCUUUGGGGAGAUUGUAUACUCUCUGCAGUCUUUCUGAUCAACCGCCUACCAAGUGAGUUUCUGUCAAACAAAUCACCUUUUGAACUGCUUCAUUUUAAGGUACCAGACUACUCUCUUCUUAAAGUUUUUGGCUGCUUAUGCUACCAAUCUACAAGUACUCAGCAACGCCAUAAAUUUGAGCCGAGAGCAAAAGCCUGUGUUUUCCUUGGAUAUCCUGCAGGAUAUAAGGGAUAUAAAUUGCUUGAUUUGGAGACCAACAGUAUUAAUAUCUCAAGACAUGUUGUGUUCUUUGAAUCAGUUUUCCCAUUUGCUGAUAAGAAAAGCAUACCUCAUGAUAUUUUUGAGAUGCCAGAGACUUCUAAUGCUUCAUUACAGUCAUUGGAUCUUGCAACCACUAAUGAUGAUGUAGUUCACACCAAGAGAAAAUCUAGACCUCCUGGACACCUUCAAGAUUAUUACUGCAAUGCAGUUCCUGAUGUUCAGAAAGAUGUGAGGUACCCCAUUUCAGCAUAUAUUAAUUAUGCUCAACUUUCUGAGGAGUUUACAGCCUACAUAUGUGCAGUGAAUAAGUAUCCAGAACCGACUACUUAUGCACAGGCUAAAAAGAUUAAAGAAUGGUUAGAUGCAAUGGAAAUUGAGAUUGAUGCAUUGGAAUCAACCGAUACAUGGACAGUAUGUUCUUUACCUGAAGGAAAGAAGCCUAUUGGUUGUAAAUGGGUUUUUAAGGUAAAGUUGAAUGCUGAUGGAAGUUUGGAAAGAUUCAAGGCAAGGCUAGUGGCCAAAGGAUAUACACAAAAAGAAGGGAUAGACUAUAUAGAUACUUUUUCUCCAGUGGCUAAAAUGACAACAGUCAAGACAUUACUUUCUGUUGCAGCUGCAAAAGAAUGGAGUCUACAUCAGCUUGAUAUCUCAAAUGCAUUCCUUAAUGGAGAUUUAAGUGAAGAGAUUUAUAUGAGCUUACCUCCGGGAUAUUCAAUGAAACAGGGAGGGUCUUUACCUGACAAUGCGGUUUUAAAAUUACAGAAGUCUCUCUACGGCUUAAAACAAGCGUCAAGACAAUGGUACUUGAAGUUCAGUACAACACUAAUGAACCUUGGCUUUAAGAAGUCGCAGGCUGAUCAUACUCUAUUCAUCCGUAUGACUGGUAGUGUUUACAUUGCUCUAUUAGUAUACGUAGAUGACAUUGUUAUUGCUGGGAAUGAUGAUGCUGCUAUAGAGGAAUUGAAGAAAGAUUUAGCAAAGGCUUUUAAACUUAGAGACCUUGGUCCUUUGAAAUAUUUUUUAGGCCUGGAAAUUGCUAGAUCUAGUAAAGGUAUCUCUGUAUGUCAGAGAAAGUAUACCUUGGAAUUGUUAGAAGACACUGGUUUGCUAGGCUGUCGUCCUUCUUCUAUUCCCAUGGAACCAAGUCUGAAACUGACGCUCCAUAGUGAUGAAUCAGAGUUGCCAAAUCCAGAGAUGUAUAGACGGCUAGUAGGAAAGUUGAUGUAUUUGACGAUCACUAGACCUGAUAUCACUUAUGCGGUGAAUAGGCUCUGUCAAUUUACUUCAGCUCCUAAAGCAUCUCACAUGAAAGCAGCUCAUAAAGUGGUUCAUUACCUCAAAGGCACAAUUGGUUUGGGUUUGUUCUACUCCUCCAAGUCUGAUUUGUGUCUACAAGCAUUUACUGAUGCAGACUGGAACUCAGACAAGGAUUCUAGACGCUCUACUUCAGGGUAUUGCAUGUUUCUUGGAAACUCCUUGAUCUCUUGGAAAUCUAAAAAGCAGGAUGUUGCUUCUGCUUCAUCUGCUGAAUCUGAAUACAGGGCUAUGGCAAUGGGAAGUAAAGAGAUUGCUUGGCUUGUUAAAUUGCUCAACGAGUUUCAGGUACCUCAAUCCAAACCUGUUCCUCUGUUUUGUGAUUCAACAGCAGCUAUACACAUUGCAAACAAUGCUGUCUUCCAUGAACGGACGAAGCACGUCGAGAAUGAUUGUCACAUCACACGAGAUCGGAUUGAACAAGGCUUGCUGAAGACACUGCAUGUUACAACCACAAGUCAGCUUGCGGAUAUUUUGACAAAGCCUUUGUUCCCUGCUCUCUUUAAUUCUCUGUUAAGCAAGAUGAGCCUUCUUUCCAUAUACGGCACAUCUUGAGGGAGGGUAUUAGUGUAUACAAUUGUUUGUAAACCGGAAUAAACCGGAACACCUCUACUAUAAAUAGAGGCUCUCUCUCUGUAACAAACUUUAACGGGAAUAACAGAGUUUUUCGUCAUCUUCUUCGUUUCUAUCACUAAUAUAUGAAAUAAAAUUACAUUUACGUUAUGCAUAAGUUUAUCCUUAUUUUAUUUUAUUUUUUUUGUCAAACAAGUUUAUCCUUAUAUAUUUGCGAUUUUUGCCCGUCCAUCUCUGGUAUUUGGCAGCGAAUUGUACCUGCUUCUCAGAGGAUCAUGUUCUUUCAAAAAUCAGUGCUGGAAUGGCUUUAUGGUAACCUUAAAGAUGAAACAGAGAGAGACGGAGUCCCAUGGUCCACAUUAUUUGCCAUGGCUUUGUGGUGGGCAUGGAAAUGGAGAUGUGGAGAGGUGUUUGGUGGUAUGGGCCGGUGUCGGGAUAGAAUUAAAUUUAUCAGACAAUUGGCCAAGGAUGUCUAUGAAGCCCACAUGGUGAUUUUGGGAGAGAAACAUACGGUGGCAAGGGAAGUAAGACUUGUGGGUUGGAAACUGCCGCAUGUGGGAUGGACGAAGCUUAACACGGACGGUGCGUCUCAUGGCAAUCCGGGGUUAGCAACGGCAGGGGGAGUUUUACGUGAUGGUGAGGGAAACUGGAAAGGUGGUUUCGCGUUGAAUAUAGGUAUAUGUUCAGCACCUCUAGCGGAAUUGUGGGGAGUUUACUACGGGAUGUAUAUUGCGUGGGAGAGAGGAGUCACGCGAUUAGAGCUUGAAGUGGAUUCCGAGAUUGUGGUGGGUUUUCUAAGGACAGGGAUUAGCGAUGCUCAUCCGAUGUCAUUCCUAGUACGUUUGUGCUAUGGCUUUAUUUCGAGGGACUGGAUAGUCCGGAUUUCUCACGUGUAUAGAGAGGCUAAUCGUCUUGCCGAUGGGUUAGCUAACUAUGCGUUUACACUUCCUUUAGGUUUUCAUUAUUUUGAUGUUAGUCCUGAGGUUGUUCGUUCUAUUUUGUUAGAGGAUAUUAGUGGGUCUACGCGCCCACGAAGUGUUCGUUUGUAAGUUUUUUUUAAUUUAGUUUUAAUAAAGAAGGGAGACAUUGUCUCCCUCAGAUUACCAAAAAAAAUAUAUUUGCGAUUUUAAUGUAAAAUUUAAUAAUAAAUGAAAUAAUGUGAGUGUUGAAAUCUAUACAUUAUAUAUUUAUAUUGUUUAAUUUAUAAAUUAACAAAAACACAAUGCAUUUCGUAUAAAUUAAAUUUUUCGAGGAAAAACUUUUUUGUUAAUUCGAGAUAUUUAAUUUUGCUAAGUUUAGUUAAUAAGAAUAAAUAUUAUAUAGAAUUAAAAGUGUUCGGCAAGAAAGAUAGUAAAAAUAAAUAAAUUAAAAAUAAAAUUAAAAAAUGAAAAUAUUGUAGGAGUGAAAAAUAAGCACUAAUGACUCUAUUUUAAUGGCUCUGAUUGGAAGCAACCAAACGUCUCUUUUGGAAACGAGAUGCUCAAGUGGCUAACAAUCAUCAAAGGGGUUAGAGAAAACGUUUGAUAUUAGUGGUUGAAGAAGGUGUUUUGGAUAAGAGUUCAAAACAAUAGUUCAAUAGUAUAGAGGUUGCAGAGCUUCUCUUUUGUCUUUUUGUUAUUUAUUUUUAACAUUGGAUUCCUUUAUUUGACAAAGGAAGAUAAGAGUAGUGAAUAAUGCAAUUGCUUUUACCUAUGCUUUUUCAGAAACUUAUUUAGCUUUUCAUAAAAGAAAAAAAUUAUUGAGAUGAAAUAGCAACAAAUAUUUUUCUCUCCAUCUCGUAUAUAUGUAUGUGCUUCGUACAACGCCAUUGUUAUGAUACAUGUUUUUUUCGAACAAAAAAAAACAAACAGUUUCAUUUUGUUCCAAAAAUAGUUGUUAUUUACAAUCAUUUUAAGUCCAUUAACUGAAAGGUAAGUAUUGUUUAAAGUUUUCCUAAUUCUUUUAGUGUACAUAAAAUACUUAUAUACGAUUAAAAUCUGAAGUUUUGUGCAAAACUAAAUCGAGAUUAAGUUUGGUGCCAUUAGAAGUUUCAGUGCCUCCACGAGGAAAAUAUUAUCUUGUUGACUUGGGAAAUCAAAGAGAAGAGUUGAGAUACCAUUUAGAACAAUUUUAAAGUAGUCCACCCCAAAAAAUAAGGAAGAAUUGUUCAACAUAUGGCAUGUCUCGCUACGUUCAGUAAUCGAACGAACGUUUGAAAUUUGGAAAAAAAAAAUGGCGGGUUGUCAAAGAACUACCAAAGUACAAUCCUGAAACACAAAAGCGACUAGUAUUUAUCACAUUGGGUCUUCAUAAUUUCAUUCAACGUUCAAAUAUUUUGGAUGAUGAUUUAUUGAUAAUAAGUGAAAAUGAAGAUAGAGAUAGACAACACGAAGCUGAUGAAAAUGAUAUCAAUGAGUUAGAAGAAGCUGAAGCAACAUCAGAUGGAGCAUAUAUGGCAACAAUUCGUAAUCAAAUUGCUCAUAUGUUAUGGGCUGAUCAUAGAAAAAGAUGUAAAUUAUUAUGGUAAUGUAAUUCUUUAAUAUUAUAAAAAUUCUCAUAUUAUGAAUUAGAUAAUGAUUUAUUAAUUCAUACUUCAUUAUUAAUAAUUUAUUUUAAUUUAUAAUAUUAAAUUCAUUUUUAUAAUUUAUUUAAAAUUUUUUAAUUUAUUAUUAUUAUUGAAGUGACAAAAGUAAAAUUUUUAUCAUUAUGAAAAUUCUCAUUUAACUAUAGUAAUAUUUUGUAUUAUGAUAUAAUAAUGAUUCAUUACUCCAUAUUUUUUUUAACUACACUAAUUUCAUUUUUUAAUAAUUUACUAUAACUUAUACUAUUCAACCGCUAUAAUGUUACCAAUAAUAUCAAACUAAAUAUUUAAAUGUUUUCUUUAACCGUUUUUUCUUCAAUCACUAUAAAAUUUUUUUUUUUCUCAUGAGUAAAUUUUAUUCAAUAAACCAUUUGUUACAAGGCCACGUAAAGCCUGUCCUGACAUACAUUACAGAUUACGAAAAAAACACAAGCCCAUGAAGAGCCCAAUAAUGCAUCGCUUAUAGAAGAAGAUUGUGUCAAGUAAGACCACCCAAAGAAACGUGUCAAUACACGUGUAAGAUGAGCAAACGAAAUAUUUCCAUCGUCAUCCUUCACCAUCGGAGUCAUCGAUUUUUCCGGCGAAGGAAACCACCGCCAAUAGUAAAUCGUUGGUAGAAUCAUCUUUUUUUCACCAGCAAUAGCAAAACAGCAACAUGAAGAUAUGUCGGAACAUUUAAACUCAAACAAUUUGCAAGAAUUAUCAAUAGAUUGAGAUCACACAAAUAGAGAAUAAACUUCAAUUAAUCGAGAAACUGUUGAUUAAAACCAACUGAAGCUCUAAAAACAUGUAACAACUAAAGGCAAUUGAAAUUUGCUGAGAAAUUUGAUGAGCCGGAAAGGAGACACUUUUGAGCGAAAAUCGCCCCAAACGCCACCACCACCAGUACAGAUCCGGAGAGUAGAAAACUAAAACCAUCAACGGUAUCAACGACACCGUGAUCGAAACUAAGAAAAAGAAACCGGGCAACACCGGAGAGAAACUAAGCUAGCCAUCGUCGCGAGAACCGAUCGAUGCCAGAUGAGAAGCCAUCCAAUUCGCUAUAUGAGCCGAGUUUUGAUGGCCAAAAAAAGAACAAACCGUUCUCUCUCUCUAAAAGAUUUUAGAGAGAUAAGAGAGAGCUCUGAAAUCACUAUAAAUUUCUUAACCGUCUCGUUUAAACAUUGUUACUAUUCG